GACGAACGCUGGCGGCGUGCCUAACACAUGCAAGUCGAACGGAGAAAUUAUUUCGGUAAUUUCUUAGUGGCGGACGGGUGAGUAACGCGUGGGUAACCUGCCAUAUACAGGGGGGAUAACACUUAGAAAUAGGUGCUAAUACCGCAUAAGCGCACGGUGUCGCAUGACACAGUGUGAAAAACUCCGGUGGUAUAUGAUGGACCCGCGUCUGAUUAGCUAGUUGGUGAGGUAACGGCUCACCAAGGCGACGAUCAGUAGCCGGCCUGAGAGGGUGAACGGCCACAUUGGGACUGAGACACGGCCCAAACUCCUACGGGAGGCAGCAGUGGGGAAUAUUGGACAAUGGGGGAAACCCUGAUCCAGCGACGCCGCGUGAGUGAAGAAGUAUUUCGGUAUGUAAAGCUCUAUCAGCAGGGAAGAAAAACAUGACGGUACCUGACUAAGAAGCCCCGGCUAACUACGUG
RNAcentral lists this ribosomal RNA (464 nucleotides) under uncultured bacterium. RNAcentral's name for it is "bacterial SSU rRNA". It matches the Rfam family "Bacterial small subunit ribosomal RNA", at positions 28 to 507 of the family's 1533-position model. The record is from RNAcentral.